CAAUAACAUGUAGCAUGGGAUAAUGGAAUAGGACCCUGUCCUCCUAUUUUCUGUUGGUUUUGGCAGCGCGAGGACUAGGGUAAUGAUUAAUAGGGAUAGUUGGGGGCAUUAAUAUUUAAUUGUCAGAGGUGAAAUUCUUGGAUUUAUGAAAGAUUAACUUCUGCGAAAGCAUCUGCCAAGGAUGUUUUCAUUAAUCAAGAACGAAAGUUAGGGGAUCGAAGACGAUCAGAUACCGUCGUAGUCUUAACCAUAAACGAUGCCGACCAGCGAUUAGGAGACGUUGAAUACAAAACACCACCAUCGGCGCGGUCGUCCUUGGCGUCUCGCGUUCGCGCGCGGCGCGAGGGCGGCUUACCCCGGUGGCACCGGUGAAUGACUCCCCUAGCAGCUUGUGA
Molecule: ribosomal RNA, 395 nt
Filed under: Acanthamoeba sp. Cerrado FPD-2014
Lineage: Eukaryota; Discosea; Longamoebia; Acanthamoebidae
Description: SSU rRNA
Rfam family: Eukaryotic small subunit ribosomal RNA
Source: RNAcentral